RNAcentral lists this long non-coding RNA (224 nucleotides) under Lathyrus oleraceus (garden pea). RNAcentral describes it as "Pisum sativum (pea) long non-coding RNA (PSAT_LNC036758)". The record is from RNAcentral. Lineage: Eukaryota; Viridiplantae; Streptophyta; Magnoliopsida; Fabales; Fabaceae.
UCAUCAAAUGUUUUACAUAAAAUCCAUAAAAAUAGUUUGCAUCUCAUACAUCUUUUUUAUAACUUUAAAAUCAUUUUAGCAUUUAUUAAUAUUUUGUAAAAAAAAAUAUUUUUAUUUAAAAUUUUCAUUUAUUUUUAAAUAUUUUUGCAUCCAACUUUUGAGGUUAAAUUAUUCAUAUUUUUCUUGACCUCCCAUAAUUUUCUCCACCAUUUCUUUUAUGUUUU